UCUUACCGAGCCGAAAACAGAAAGAAGAAAACCGCACCGGGCGCGCGUACAGCCAACAGAGAGACAACGAAACGUAGUAAAAUAUAGAGGCGCCGCGCGCGAGGGCGCUGCCUCCUUUCCUGCGGCGGGAAUAAAACAGAGCACCACCGCCACCUCCACUCUCCAAACGAUCUCUCCCCUCCGCCGCUCGCCCGAAUAAAAACCCCAGGCCGGCAUUGACGCAUCCAGCGCACCGCCAAUCCGCUAUUGCUAAGCAGCACAGUUAAGCUACCGGCGUACACCCCAGGGCUCAGGCAGGCAAGGCAGCUCCGACUUCCGGCAAGACAUUAUCAAGGAGUUCUUCGUCUUCCUCCGUCCUCCCAUCCAUCGUGCAUGAAAGCCGGCACAGCUAUAGCAGCACUCGUCCAUUGGUGCUCGUUCUUGCGAUCAAGCGAUCGGUCGAUGACGCUUGACGGCGGCAUGCCAGCCACCACCGACGGCGCCGGCGUGCCCCCGGCCGCAGAGAGGGGCGGCAGCGGCUGCGGUGCCCGCGUGGCGCCGGAGGUGGUGGUGGAGCGGGAUGGCGGUAGCGGUGCCGGCGCUACAAUCCCUGCGACGGAGAGGGCUGCCGCCGUGGCGAUCCCUGCGAUGGAGAGGGACGGCGGCGGCUCUGCCGGCGUGGCGCCGACUGAGGCGGAGAGCGACGGCGGCGGGAGGAGCUGCGGCGAGCACUGCGUCAUCCAGGUGGUGGAGGAGUCGUGCUGCGCGCGGUGCGUGUGCGUGGGCCCGAACCCGAUGAUGGCGCGGUACGUGUACGCGCUCAUCUUCCUGGUGACCAACCUGCUGGCCUGGACGGUCCGCGACUACGGCCACUCGGUGCUGGGCGAGCUCCGGCGGCUCAAGGGCUGCCAGGGCGCGCGCUACUGCCUGGGCGCCGAGGGCGUGCUGCGCAUCAGCCUCGGCUGCUUCCUCUUCUUCUUCGUCAUGUUCCUGUCCACCAUGAAGACGCGGAAGGUGCACGACUGCCGCAACUCGUGGCACUCCGAGUGGUGGCCCGUCAAGAUCGUGCUCUGGAUGGCCCUCACCGCCGUCCCCUUCUUCGCGCCCUCGCCGCUCAUCCAGCUCUACGGGAAGGUGGCACAUUUCGGAGCAGGGGCGUUCCUCGUGAUCCAGCUCAUCAGCGUGACCAGGUUCAUCACGUGGCUCAACGACUGCUGCCGAUCGGAGCUGAACCUCAAGAGAUGCCACAUGCAGGUGCUGGUGGUGUCGAUCGUGACGUACGUGGGGUCCAUCCUGGGGAUCGUGCUCAUGUACAUCUGGUACGCGCCCACGUCGGCCUGCAAGCUCAACAUCCUCUUCAUCACCGUCACCCUCGCGCUGGUGCAGCUCAUGACAUUCGUCUCCGUCAACUCCAAGGUGAAGGCGGGGUACCUGGCGCCGGGGCUGAUGGGGAUCUACAUCGUGUUCCUCUGCUGGUCCGCGAUCAGAAGUGAGCCGCACACGGAGAUGUGCAACAGGAAAGCAGCGGUCGCGACGAGCGCAGACUGGCUCAACAUCGCGAGCUUCGUGAUCGCCGUGAUCGUCGUCGUCGCGGCCACCUUCUCGACAGGGAUAGACUCAAAGUGUAUCCAGUUCAAGAGCGCCGAGACGGAGUCCGAGGACGACGACAUCCCGUACGGGUUCGGCUUCUUCCACUUCGUGUUCGCCAUGGGCGCCAUGUACUUCGCCAUGCUCUUCAUCGGCUGGAACGCGCAUCAGGAAAUGGAGAAGUAAGGGGCUGUUUGGUUCUAGACAAGGGGAAAACACACUGACAGAUUGCAGUCAGAACGUUCAGACUUUGGUCGCUAGAUGUUCCCGAUGUGAGAACACUGAUGGUUGAUUAGUGCGCGGCCAGUCUGAUCCCCAGGUGGACGAUCAGACAGAGAAAAAACACGCUGACAGACUGAACUGACUGACUGCAAGAUCAGAAUGUUCCUGAUCUGAGAACAUUGAGUAAUUGAUUAACGCGUUGUCUGAUUUCAUCCUCAGGUGGACGAUCGACGUGGGCUGGGCGAGCACGUGGGUGCGCGUCGGCAACGAGUGGCUGGCGGCGAUCACGUACAUAUGGAUGAUCGUCGCUCCGAUCGUGUGGAAGCGGAGGCAGGUGGGGUCCUCGUCCACGUGUGCGUGAGCGAACGUUUUAUUCUCGCUCGUGCUAAUUACCUACUGAAGAACAGCUAAUCUACAAGAAAGAAAAGAGAGAAGUAGGGAGCUUGACAUGACGCUACUUCGCUUACACGACGCAUGGACGGAUGAUGAUGAUGAUGAUGAUGAUGACGAUCAAGAAGUGUUGGUCAGUCGCUCGUUUUUUGCCCAAGUUGGAGGUAAAAGAGAGUGGGAGAGAAAGGAAAGAGCCGAACGUGUUCCUCUUUGUAUAUAAGGCCAAUUUUGCUUUGUGGCCGUUGCAGAUAAAAACUAAUUCUUUUGGAGUUGAGUUGAUUGUAUAUUCUCACUCCGAAAAGAAAUAUUUACCAAGGAAACAACUCGUGACCGAAUUUCAAAUUCCUUGUGGGUGCCGACAUGUUUGCGCCUGGAAAUUUCAGGUCCAAAUUCCUUGUGGGUGCCGAAAUGUUUGCGCCUGGAAAUUUCAGGUCAAAAUCUUCUAUAUCUAAAUAGGGACACCCCACUAGAUGAUUUUUCUAGAUCCUCGUGAAGCCACGUCAUCUGAAUUGUUGCAGCCAUUGAUGUGGUAUAGAUCAGCAAUCAGCAGCCGUUUGAUCGGAAGUUGAUGAAAAUUACUGAGCUUGCCACCGCUAAGUGAAAAGUAC
RNAcentral lists this ribosomal RNA (2786 nucleotides) under Triticum aestivum (bread wheat). Its description in RNAcentral is "partial small subunit ribosomal RNA". The record is from RNAcentral. Lineage: Eukaryota; Viridiplantae; Streptophyta; Magnoliopsida; Poales; Poaceae.